ACGCGGGGGGCGCAAGCGUUAUUCGGAAUUAUUGGGCGUAAAGGGCGCGUAGGCGGUCUUGGCGGUCAGAUGUGAAAGCCCAGGGCUCAACCCUGGACGUGCAUUUGAAACAGCAAGACUUGAGUACGGGAGAGGAAAGCGGAAUUCCUGGUGUAGAGGUGAAAUUCGUAGAUAUCAGGAGGAACACCGAUGGCGAAGGCAGCUUUCUGGACCGAUACUGACGCUGAGGCGCGAAGGCGUGGGUAGCGAACAGGAUUAGAAACCCUAGUAGUCC
RNAcentral lists this ribosomal RNA (274 nucleotides) under uncultured bacterium. RNAcentral describes it as "partial 16S ribosomal RNA". It matches the Rfam family "Bacterial small subunit ribosomal RNA", at positions 523 to 796 of the family's 1533-position model. The record is from RNAcentral.